GCGGUUGUGGCGGAAUGGCAGACGCGCUAGGUUGAGGGCCUAGUGGGGGCGACCCCGUGGAGGUUCAAGUCCUCUCAGCCGCACCA
This 86-nucleotide transfer RNA is filed under the name bacterium LRH843. Its description in RNAcentral is "tRNA-Leu". It matches the Rfam family "tRNA". From Rfam's summary of the family: Transfer RNA (tRNA) molecules are approximately 80 nucleotides in length. Their secondary structure includes four short double-helical elements and three loops (D, anti-codon, and T loops). Further hydrogen bonds mediate the characteristic L-shaped molecular structure. tRNAs have two regions of fundamental functional importance: the anti-codon, which is responsible for specific mRNA codon recognition, and the 3' end, to which the tRNAs corresponding amino acid is attached (by aminoacyl-tRNA synthetases). tRNAs cope with the degeneracy of the genetic code in two manners: having more than one tRNA (with a specific anti-codon) for a particular amino acid; and 'wobble' base-pairing, i.e. permitting non-standard base-pairing at the 3rd anti-codon position. The record is from RNAcentral.